RNAcentral lists this unclassified non-coding RNA (200 nucleotides) under soil metagenome. RNAcentral describes it as "partial contains internal transcribed spacer 2 and large subunit ribosomal RNA". The record is from RNAcentral.
CUGUUUGAGUGUCAUGAAGACUCAUCCUCCUGGGUUUCCUAGGAUGUGAUGGAUUUGGGUGUCUGCCUUUACCUGGCUCGCCUUAAAGAUCUAAGUGGUUAUAUAGGACGUAAUAAGUUUCGGCCUUGACUGCUCAUAACUCGUCUUUUGACAUUCUCUGAUCUGACCUCAAAUCAGGUAGGACUACCCGCUGAACUUAA